This 1492-nucleotide ribosomal RNA is filed under the name Triticum aestivum (bread wheat). RNAcentral's name for it is "partial small subunit ribosomal RNA". Lineage: Eukaryota; Viridiplantae; Streptophyta; Magnoliopsida; Poales; Poaceae. The record is from RNAcentral.
UUUUUUCUUCAAGAAGAGUAGGGGAAACAGAUUAAAAGAAGAAGAAGAAUAGGGAAGGGUGGCGAGGGGGUAAGGUACCACCGGCGGGGAGUGAAGGUAAGGAAAGCAGGGGCGGCGGCCGCGCUCCGGAGUGGACGAGAGGGGUGACGAAGGAGAGGGGCCGUGCGUCAGCGUGCGGCGUAGGAGAGGGCGGUGUAGCAGCGGGUCGCGUAGGAGAGGGGGAGGGGUGCCGGAACGCGGCGGCGGAGGAGAGGGGUGGUAUUGGAGCGGAACGGCGAUUGUGGCAGCCGGAAGGGAUCUAGCUGAGACGGCAGCGGCAUGUGUACAGGGUCGCGUCUAGGUCUACGCUCGAUCUCCUCGCACGACCUGUGCUACGCCCUCGUCCGUAGAGCCUCGCCGGGCUCCAAGUCACGCAGAGCACGGGGACACUAUCAGCCGGAGCACGAACCGAGGGUGUAAGUUAGGCCCUUCCGCGAGCGUCGAGCGAAUGCACGAGCUGAUGAGGUCAAUGAACUACCUAAGUCCAAAGCCCCAUACAUCUCUUACACUACAAAUCUUUUUAGACCCGUUGUCGUCGUAAAGGUUCCACUGUUUAUACAAGAAUAAAACCGAACUCUGUAACUUCUCCCCUACAGACCGGUACUUCGGUGGAAUAACACUAGCGGUAACAUAUUACAGAAACAACCCCAUAGACGAAGAAAGUACGAACCUUUGUAACUACUCCCCUACAGACAGGUGUUUUAUACAUUUAUGGAGUCCUCCUCGUGCCCGUCUGCUCAAGGUCGCUUCUGUCGCCUCCGCUCUAACCUGCGAACGCCGUGCCGUUACAGCUCGGAUUCAGUUCGGUCUGACUUUCAUCUACUCCAUGGUCACAAGUAUCUGUACAACUUCCUACAGCAUAUACCUUUGUCAAUUGUUUUUAUGGACUACAUUUCGACUGAACAGUUUCUCGAAUUAACUUUGCUUCCACUGUUGGACACUUUGACCGUCCAAUUAACAUUUCGACUCGAAUUAACUUGGCUUCCACUGUUGCGGCACUUUGACUGUUCAAUUAACUUGGUUUUGGACCCUAACACAGUGUACUUUUUAGUGACCUCUAUCCUACAUAAACAUCGUGGUUGCUACGGGCGGAGAUUCAUCCAAAGCCUGAGGACAUCCUUAGAUUUAUCCUCAUCCUUAUCCUUAUCCUUAUCCUGGUCCUAAACCUGAGUACAUUCCUUUCGGUCGUGGUUGCUACGGGCGGAGAUUCAUCCAAAGCCUGAGGACAUCCUUAGAUUUAUCCUCAUCCUUAUCCUUAUCCUUAUCCUGGUCCUAAACCUGAGUACAUUCCUUUCGGUCGGUCGCCGCGACGGAGGCAUGCGUCACCCAGGGAGGUAGCUAUGCCCGUCCGUCGAAGCAAACAAACCGUUAAAUUUUUAUCUCUAUACCCGGCCGGCCGGCCGAGAACAAUCAAAACUCACAUGCAGACAAACAUGCAAGCUAAACGAGUUGG